UCCCUGAAGUCUUUCUUUUUGAAAAAGGAAAUAGGUUCUUCAAAUGCUUUCUUUAAAAAAUCCUGAGCGUAAUGGCACACACAAGUGAAACGCGAUGGAGGGCGAAAAAGGUGUUCGUUCCACCGUUUCAUUCACCUGCUCAUUUAGUUACCGUAGUAACUCAAUCUCGCUUCUGACAUCCUCGGAAUAUAAAUCAUGCAAUUAAUUGGAAGUAAUUUCAGAAGGGUAGCUUUCAAGAUGGCGUCUCGAGGAGAUCUGGCGGCUCGUCCGUCGCUGGUCAUGCCUAGAAACGUUCAUUCACCCCUGUAAGACACUUUAUUAGGAAGAUGGAAUUAAAAUAGAUCACAGCAAACCAACCUCCCUACUCUCCAAGACUCAUGGAGGCUACAGCGAGAAUCUGGAUAUUUUGUGCCUUAGUUUGCAUCUAAGUCAAGACCUGGCUAUGGAACCAGAUAUUUGGGGAGUCAUGCAAUACGGAAUUGGCAUAAUAAGUGACACUAGCUCAGGGUUCCUCUCAUCCCAAAUUGACCUCAAAUGAAUUGGUGGCACUUUACCUAUGUUUCUGAGUUCACAACUUAUAAUGUCCACUUUGCUAAUUUAUUAUUGCAACUGUUUUUAAUUCUAUGUUUUUAAUAAGUGUGUUUCAUUUUUCUGAUCAAUGUUUAAAUAUUAUAACUGGUGCAUGUUGUUGUUUAUUGAUGUAUUGUACAUCGUUAUUGUUUUGUAUCCGAUAUUUCUGUGAUCUGCCCUGAGUCCCCUCCGGGGAUAUGGCGGCGGUAUAUAAAUAAACUUAUCAUCAUCAUCAUCAUCAUCAUCAUCAUCAUCAUCAUCAUCAUCAUCAUCAUCAUCCUCAUGUAGCAGCAUGAAUGACGACUACAGGACUAGGUGUUAUGUUUUUAACAGGUUAAAUUGUAUUGAUAUGCUUUAUUUGUUUUUACUGCUAAUGCUUUGUAUUGUAUAUUUGCAUUUGCAAUGUGGCAUUAAAUAUUGCCAAACUGUAAGCUGCUCUGAGUUCCCUUCAGGGUGAGAUAUAGCAAGAUAGAAAUAUAGUAAAUAAAUAAAUCUACACUGCAAGAUUAAUACAGUUUUGGACCACUCUGGCUGCCAUGGUUUGAUGCUAUGGAAUCAUGGGACUUGUAGUUUUACAAAGCCUUUGUCAUUCUCUAUCAAAGAGUGUUAGUGCCUCAUCAAACUGCAAAUGCUAGGAUCCCAUAACAUUGAGCCACGGCAGUUCACGUGUUGCCAAACUAUAUUGAUCAGGAAUCUGUAAAGCUGUCUUUUAGCACUAUUUUUCACAUGAAUUGCAUUCAUACCGCUAAUUUUUUUCUUCGUAUUUUGAUUUUUAGUGUGUUCCUAGGGUUCUUUCGGGCACUGAUUCAAAAAUUGCAUUGGAUAGACUGCACCAGCUCUUGUUUCUUAUUGGUUAUCCUGGUGAACAAUGGUAUAUGGUAUAAAAUCCCAACGUUUCUGCAGCGGAAUAUUUUGUAUAAGAGAUACUUAACAUGUGUAACCUUUUAAACAUCUUUCAUCUCCACUAAAAUAUAUAUAUAUUCUAAAGUCAAUGGAUAUUAUUUUAUUACUUAUUAUUCUAUUUUUCUCCUGAUAUAGGGACUCAAGGUGGUCUUUCUCACUCAGGACUAGCCCACCUCAAAUCUUCAUUUACUUGAUUUAUAUUCCUCCCAACCACCCCAAACAGGACCCAAAGCAAUGUUUGAUAUAACUUAAGACAGAACAUUUAAGACAAUAUGAAGUACAAAAGUCUGAAAGAGCAACGGGUAUUCAAACUACUUCUUUUAAUAUCCUGAAUUGAGAUAUUGCAUGGUAGCAAUUACCUUCUUUUGGACCCUAAUGCCAACGUGUCCUCCUGUUGCCAAUCUCUCUAUUAACUGUGUCGUUUGUGAUGCCUUUGGCACUUCAAACAUUAUCCUUCAGCCGUGUGUCAGCCCAUUGCUCUGGCGGACAAUGGGAGAUGGAAUGGCAUCAAUCAAAAUUGAGUAUUAUUUCACUGCCUGACACCUGUUAUAACUUCUGCUGGGCUGGAAAUGCCAACAAGAGAGCUCCUGUUGUUAUUGGGAAGGUUAAUAAACUCUUCAAGUGCUUCCAAGUCAAGGAAAUCCUUGCCUGAUUGCCACAAUUAUCUUAAUGCACAGAUAACCCCUAUCUGCUUCAAUGCUUUCCCAGCUGAUCAAUGCGAUCAUGUCUUACGGGAUGACAAAAAUACUCGCGACACUUGCAAAGAUGAUAUGUUUUGGGUCACCAUUUAAUCCUCAAGGGUUGACUUUAAUUUUGGCCUACGUCCUAUUUCUAGAGGCAGCAAUUUCAAACAAAGGCGAGCUGUAAUAGGACAAGAUAUUACAGUUGUGUGAAGUCAGUCUAGAUCAGGGGUCCCCAAACUAAGGCCCAUGGGCCGGAAGCGGCCCUCCAAGGUCAUUUACCUGCCCCCUGUCCUAAACUUCAGACUUAGGGUUGACCUCUUUGCUUAGUUAUGGUCUUAUGAGAUCGUCUAGAUGGUCUUUGAAGGUCUCUUUGCUUAGCUACGGCCCUAUGAGACCAUCUAAAUAGCUUUUGGAGGUCACUUUCCUUACCUAUGGUCCUAUGUCUAGAUGGCCUUUGAGGGUCCCUUUCCUUACCUAUGGUUUUAUGAAAUUGUCUAAAUGGUCUUUGGGGGCCCCUUUCCUUACCUAUGGUCUUAUGAAACCAUCUGGAUGGUCUUUGAGGGUCCCUUUCCUUACCUAUGGUCUUCUGGUGGCCUUAUGAGAUCAUCUAGAUGGCCUUUGAGGGUCCCUUUCCUUACCAAUGGUCUUAUGAGACCAUCUAGAUGGCUUUUGGAGGUCUCUUUGCUAACCUAUGGACUUAUGAGACCAUAUAGAUGGUUUUUGGAGGUCUCUUUGCUAACCUAUGGACUUAUGAGACCAUCUAGAUGGCUUUUGGAGGUUUCUUUGCUAACCUAUGGUCUUAUGAGACCAUCUAGAUCAGGGGUCCCCAAACGAAGGCCCGUGGGCCAGAUGCAGCCCUCCAAGGUCACUUACCUGGCCCCUGUCCUAAACUUUAGACUUAGGGUUGACCUAAGUCUGAAACGACUUUGAAGGCACACAACAACAACAAUCCCAAUUUUGGACUAUCUCAUCCUAGUCCGGCCCCCCAGCAGUCUGAGGGACUGUGAGUCUGCCCACCACUUAAAAAGUUUGAGGACCCCUGGUCUAGAUCAUACACAUAAUGUUUACUAAAGUUGAAAGGAGGUGCAGAAGUAAGGUCUUGGCCAUCUUGAGACACUAAUGGUCUUCUUUCCAAAAAAGAAAAGACAAAAAGCCAUAAAAAUGAAACCGAUCCAGAGACGAAAAAUCCAAACAUAAGUCCAAGAGUCCAAAGAAUGCUGAAAGCCUGAUAGAACAAACAGCUACGAACAUUAACAACUCCCAGAAACUACGAGUACUUACUGGAAGAAGGUUUAUAUCCAUGUAACCACGAGACAAGAGGUGGACAUCAAAGUAUAUCAAAGAAUCAUUGCAAAUUCCUAUAGAGACUAUAUUUCCCCAGGUGCAUUAAAAUGGAAAUGUGGAUUUCAGUCCUGCACUUCCAGGAAACUUACUAAUUUUUUCCUUGCUAUUGAGAAAACCAAAGUACAGCUUUCCUUUUUUAUCAUAUAGUCAUCAAAACAUGUAUCAUUAUAGGGAAUUUUGCAAGAAUGUGCAUGUUUUAGGGACUCUGAGUAAAAUUCCUGAGGCUCUUCUUUAGCAGAGAGCUGUGAACAUGUCUAAAUGAAAAGGCACAUCCUAUGAUAUUUGGGAUGCAAGAUGCCUCAUUGAAUCUUGAUGUAUAGGUAUAAUAGGAAAGCUUUUGAUGCAAGGUAACUAUCGAUUGCUUAAUGCUUUAGUAAAUACCACAGAGAAGGCAAUGUAAUUACUCAUUUAUGCUCUCUUCUCAGCCAGUGCAUAAGAGAAGGGGACAAAAUGAGUUGGCACGAUUAAUCUCUGAGCAAUUACAAAAUCAGAAAGUCUCUUACGGCAAUGGCUGUCCGGCUAAUUGUGAGCAAUUGUUUUCUCAAAGGUUCCUGGAAUUCCUAAACUGCAUGUCAAGAGGCCUUCAUGGGAAGAGGCAACACGGACAUUUGCCUGCCUGACAUGUGUUUAAUAUGGCAUGCCUAUUAAGGGCAUUUAAAGUCAACUUUUCCUCCAUAGAGCAGAGAUGUGGGCCGGGCUGUGGCGCAGCUGGCUAGUAACCAGCUGCAAUAAAUCACUACUGACCGAGAGGUCAUGAGUUCGAAGCCCGGGUCAGGUUAAGCCCCUGACCAUUAAAUAGCCUGGCUUGCUGUUGACCUAUGCAGCCCCGAAAGACAGUUGCAUCUGGCAAGUAGGGAAAUUUAGGUACGCUUUAUGCGGGAGGCUAAUUUAACUAAUUUACAACAUCAUAAAACUGCCAGCAAAACACGAGGAAAGGAAUGAGGAAGUACAGCCACUACUGGACAGUGAAGCAACAGCUCCCCCUGUGGCCGGAAUCGUGAAGCUGGAAAAAAAAUGUUAAAUGCCUCUGUGUCUGUCUAUAUAUGUUGUUUGUCUGUUGGCAUUGAAUGUUUGCCAUAUAUGUGUUCAUUGUAAUCCGCCCUGAGUCCCCUACGGGGUGAGAAGGGCGGAAUAUAAAUACUGUAAAUAAAUAAAUAAAUAAAUAAUGUGAUUCUUUAUUAUAUUAAUGCAAUUAAAGUUAGGCUUAUGCAAUUUGGCUGGAGGGUAAUCCGUUUUUGAUAUCCAAAUUUUGUUGGGUAUCCAGAUCCAUUUUUGGGAGUCUCCCAAAUAUCGGUUAAUGGAAAAAUCUAGACAGGUGAAAGAUCCAGGAAGAUUCAGCUCAUUGGCAGCAAUGGGAAACUUAUGAGGCUCCCCUUUUGUUGCACCCCAAGGCAGGGCGAGCACUCGAAAACCAGACAGGAGCCAAUAUAACACACAAGCCGUUUAUUGAAGCAAAAUAUAUAUCUAUGCGGAAUUAAGGAAGAAAGUCAGAGUAAGAAAUAGUUUAUAUAAAGUCAAUUGUAGUUCAAAAUGGGUUUAGAAAUGUCCAAAUUGUAAUCCAUAAAUGAAAACUCGAUAGUUUCUUCUAAGAAAAUCAAAGUUUGUCCAUGAAACAAUAGCAGGAACAUAGCACUGCAAAUCUGCAAACUCCAAAUCCACUCGAAACGUCUCGUAGCAGGAUCAAGAAAACAAGGUAAACAAGGCAGAGUCAAUCUUGAUUCAGGAAUAAGGAAAACUUGGUAUAAGGAGAGGUCUACUCGAGAGUCGCGGCAUGGCUCGCCUGGAACUGGAAACUUGGCAUGGAUACAGGAGACAAGACAAGGAGUCUAGGACCCACAAAACUUCUCAUGGGAAAGUUAGCCAUUAUCCAAUUUGAGAGCUAACCUUCGACUCAGUCUCACUCCCUCUCUCCUGCUCCUAUCUUUUGUAAUAAAUUCCUUCCGAUUAAAAGUCUCAUCUGCACCCAGGUCAACACCAUCUGGUGUAGGUAACAAUAAGGAGACGUCAGAAUGUUCUCCAAUUAGCGGUUCUUCUGAAACAACGAUAUCAGGCAGCUACAAGACCAAGGGGCCUCUAUCCAGGGCAGAAAUGUUUGCAAAAUCCGCAACAUCAUCUGUUUCCAACUCCAUCUCUUGAUGGAAUACAGGCCAUGAUGAGCUGCUACACCUUUCCAUUCCUGGGAUCCUUUCCUUUCAUACUUUCAAUGGAUCCUGGGUUUGAGGGACAAGGUUAAGGAAGCAUCCUUCCAUCCCUAGAGCCAGGAUGCAACUGAGAGCAAUGGAAGCACUUGGCCCAUUAAAUAGACACAGCUUGCGUAAGACACGUCAUGGUGUUCUUCUAUUCUGAUUGGGCCAACAGGCAGGGAUCACAGGGCCGGUGCCGUGUGAUGCCGAAUAGGAGAGGCAGAGCUGUGACCGGCUGUUGUGUGGCCCGUUUCAGCCAAAGAAAACAUGAUAGCUGAGCCCUUGCCAUUACGGCAAGCCAAACAAGCUGAACAAGGCAGAAUGGCCGAAGAAAACCGACCAAACCGAAUCUACACACAAGCCUAUUUAACAUUACUUUAACUGCCAUUGUUCAUUGUAUCAAAUUUGUGAAUGUAGUUCCAGCUCUACCGUAAGAUGACCUAUAGAACAAGCCCAACUUUCUGUUCCACAAAAAUAUAGUUUCUUUAGUUUCUUCAUCCUGUCUAAAUCAAAGAAACAUGAACCCAGAGAUAGAUUAUUCUUUCCCAGGCCCCUGAAUAAAAUCCCACCUUAUCUGCUUUGAACUGGAAUAUAUGGCAGUGUGGACUCGCAGUUGAAAUCACCACAAGCAGAGUCACUCUGUGUAAGCAAUUAGGCACUAUAGAUAAGUUCAUUGUUGCUGAGUAUACCAACACCUGAAGAUGGGGAUUUUCUCCCCGAAACAGGGUACAAAAAUACCCGGGAACCCCUAUAGACUUGGGACUUUAUUUGGACUUUACUUGCGAAGACUUUUUUGAGAGCGGUGCUCCAUCAUUAUUUUCUUCAUUCCAGUAUACAGCAACAUGACCAACUGUUUGUUUACUUUGUUUGGAAGAUAUUUUCAUUGACUAUGUAUCCCUGAAGCCUAUAUACAUUGGAACCAAAUAUCAGACUUGGAUACUUUUGUGUUAGAGCUGUUGCUCCUUUUCAUUUUGUCUGGUACUGCCAAAUUGAGCUUUGUACAGGGAACUUUAAUAACAAUAUAUGCUACUAGCUGUGCCCGGCCACGCGUUGCUGUGGUGAAGUAUGGUGGUAUGGGAAAUAAAGUAUUGAGGAAUUGGUGAAAUGCCUGACGUGGAUUAUAUGGUAGUGUGGAGUCAAGAUAAUCCAGUGCAAAGCAGAUAAUAUAAGAUUAUAAAUGGGUUACAUAGCUGUGUGGAAGGGCCUUGAGUCUACACUGCCAUAUAAUCCAGUGCAAAUUAGAUAAUCUGUGGAAGAGGCCUAAGUGAGGCCUAAAUCUGCCUGUCCCCUAACUGAACCCUGGCUGUCCCUUGGCUAAGUUGGUUGCUAGGAGACCAAGUGGGCAGAGAUUAGCCCUCUAAACUGGCACAAUUGGAUAAAAACAUUUAUUGCUCUCCCUCUAAUUAGGACUUUAUUUUUCUUUUCUUUUUGUUGUAUCAACCUAGAGGCAUGGAUGAUGGGUUGUGUUGUCAAAUUUCGAGGUUGGGGGGCCUGUAGUUUUGUUGUUUUGUCUGGUGCCCUGAUUCCAUCACUCUUUUAUAUAUAUAGAUUUGGACAUAUUUUCUUUGUACAUAGACCAUCUUGCGUUUGUGUAGACCCUGAAUAAAAUCCCACAAUAUCUGCUUUGAACUGGAAUAUAUGGCAGUGUGGACUCAGAUAACCCAGUUCAAAGCAGAAAUUGUGGGAUUUUCUGCCUUGAUAUUCUGGGUUGCAUGGCUGUGUGAAAGAGCUCCCAGCCUCCUGUUUAAGCGAUGCAAAUGUUUGUUGCUGUUGUAUUUCUUCCAUUUGUUUCUGACUUAUGCUAACUGCAAUGACUCAAUGUACCUAAACUUCCAGCAGCAGUCUUCAUUUCAGUUGGGAUCACUGUUAGCCGUGGUUCCCUGUUUCCGUGGGAUGUUCAGGAACGUAUUCCCUGCAGAUACGGGGGUUGAACGGAAUUGCCUCGGGGCCAGCAAUCACAGUUUUUCUGUGGGAGGCCAGAAAAAGAUGUUGUCAAAACCUGUGAUCAAUCUUCCUUCCAUCUUUCCUUUUAUCUUCUGUAAACCAAUUUGCCAUCAAUAAAUCCCAUUUAUGGUGCUGCAGUGAUCAUCGCAGAGUAGCAUUGUUUUUAGCACUUCCGACAGUAUACCCCUGUUGUUAGACUCCGGGGAGAGUCUUUAUUACAGCAGAAGACAACAAAACAAAAAUAAAAAAAUAAAAUAAAACAAGAGAACACUAAUGUAUGCAAGAUCUGUUGUAGCAAUGCAAGCUAAAUUAAGAUAGUAAAAUUCAGAGGAACAAACUACCACCCACCCAGAGGGUGAGCUAUAGCUCUCUCCCAAGUACAUUAUGGCUAAUCUCCCUGCAUUCUCAAAUUAAGUUUGAAAUUGAAAGGGUUUUACAAGGACAGCAGUAUCCUAUGCCCGGUGGUAUAAUUUGGGGUGUCAGAAAGAAAUUUGUGGCGAGAACCCAUUAAAAGAAUGAUUUGUACACUUAGAAGUAGGUGGUCUAUUGGCACCAUAGGAAACCCAGGGAAAUUCACAUGCUGGCAGCUGGUAAACAAUCUGGAACGAUUCUUUCCUAGGAAUUAUUAACUCAGAGAGGAAAUGUAAUAAGGAAUGAAAAGGCCUUGGCUGAGCUUUGAGCAGAAGGAGAAGAAAUGAUCUGCUGAAAUGCUUUGGAGAGAGGCAGAAGAAAUGACAAGAGCCACCACUUUGAUCUUCUGCAAGAUGCACGUUUGGAAAUUGUGAGGAGUAGUGGUUGAAAGUAUGUUUGAAAAUAUUUGGGAAAUGGCAAAAAAAUAUGGGUGAUUUUGAAUGUCAAGAAACUCUAAUGGGAAUCUUAGAUUACUUGUGGACUGGAGAUGCAACCAUGAACUUACAAGACUUGGACUGCUGAUGACCAGGGAUCAUGGGUCCCAUCUACAUAGACUUUUAAUGCUGUUUGAAACUCUAUUAUAUUGUCAGUGUAGACUCAUAUGAUGCAGUUCAAUGCAGUCCCCUUGAUCUGGUCAUGUAAGUGUGAUUUAUUGUUAUAACUGUAUUAUUUUACUUUGUUUAAUAAUGUGUAUUAUGUUGUUAUGAAAUGUUUGUGUUGCUUUUAUGACUGUAAACCGCCCUGAGUCCCAUCCGGGAGAUAGGGCAGUAUAUAAAUAAAGUUUUAUUAUUAUUAUUAUUAAACUACAUGACAUGCACCUACACUUAACCAUAUGGUGCAGUUUCAAAUUCCAUUAUAUGGCCGUGUAGAUGGAGCCAUGGAAGUCUUUUUCUUCUUCUUCUUCUGUGAUUCAUAUGUUAUUUGAGUGAUUAUAUUGCUUCUGUUUAUGUGAUUGUCUUAGUCAAUUGUUAUGUGGGGAGUUUUUUUGUAUUUUUAUAGCAUUUUAUAGUGUUUUCUGUGUUUUAUUGUACAAUGUUUUAUGCUGAUUUUAUAUUGGAAACCGCCCUGAGUCCCUUUUGGGAGAGAGGGCGGUAUACAAAUAAACUUUUACUUACUUACUUA
Long non-coding RNA from Anolis carolinensis (green anole), 9160 nucleotides. RefSeq lists it as uncharacterized. The transcript has 2 exons. NCBI's taxonomy places the organism in Eukaryota, Metazoa, Chordata, Lepidosauria, Squamata, Anolidae. The record is from RefSeq and is a predicted model, not a curated record.